GCAAUGCGCACGCGCAGUGGCUUUGAAGGCGGGGCAACAAAGCCUAUGGCUGAUAUGGCGCUCCUCGGCCCGCGCUUCAAAGGUUAUGACACUGUUAGCUCUAAGGGGAGAAGGAAUGUGUGACCAUUUCCAACGGUUAACUUGCAUUCCCCAGGUAGUUUGGAUGAGUUACAACCCAAAUCUGCAAACUCAAUACAGCCAGACCCUGGGAAGUGACCCUCUCCAAGCCUCCUGUACAAGUCCCAGGAAAAGAGCUUGUUUUCCCUUGGACAUGUGAGCAGUGAAUUACUGCUCAUUCAGAAUUUCAUGUGUAUGUGUUACUGAUGGCCAGGUUUAGAGAUACCAACCUAUUUAUUUCUAGAGGAGAGGUGAUUUGAUAACCUUUUCAGAUAUCACUAUCAGUAGACAGAAAAGAGUUAAUAGAAUGAUAGGGUUAAUAUGUCCUGAGGACAGUAGAGAAACUGCAAACUGCAGAAGCACCUGAUCUGUGGCCCUGGCCAGCAUCUCUCCAUAUCCUGAUUCUGUAAGAUCAAGUGUUUAUGCAGAAAGAGAAGGGACUGAUGAUUUGAAUGUGACCAGAUGCAGGGCAUGCCCUUAUUGCCAUGCCAGCAUUUGCUAUUCAUGAUGUUAGUAUUCAAAAAUCAAGAAACACUCUGCCUGGGCCAUUGGUGUCUACUAAUCCAUUGGAAGAAAAGACUGGAAUCCACCACUUACUAGCUUCUUGGGCCUCAGUCCCCUUUUUUCUACCAUAGCUAAGGACCACCUAACCUAGAUGGCUGUUGUUACUGUUCAAAGGAACAUCUUUAGAGCCUCAAGCCCAGGAGUAGCCCAUGGCAGGCACCUGAUAAAUGUUAGUUUUCAUUGUCCUAUCCCAACACUAUGAAACAUGCAGCACUCUCUGCAGCUGCCCCUGUGGAUUUCCAUAGGCAGGAGAGUAUCCAGUGUUGAGUGGAGCUGGUAUUCUCAAAAACGAAGCCCCUUUCCCCAUUUUGCACCAAUCUCUUCAGUCAUUUUUACCCUAGUAGUAUAAUGCUUUGUCAAAGUCACUGUCAUCUGAUGUUAACAGUUGUUUUUGCCAGAUGACUUUUCAAAAGGUAACUUCACCAUAAUACUGGUUAAUGUGACAAAAACACUGCAUGUAGCCAAUUUUUUUUUUUUUUGAGAUGGAGUUAUUGGCUCUUGUUGCCCAGGCUAGAGUGCAGUGGCGCGAUCUUGGCUCACUGCAACCUCCACCUCGUGGGUUCAAGUAAUUCUCCUGCCUCAGCCUCCCAAGUGGCUGGGAUUACAGGCACACGCCACCAUGCCCAGCUAAUUUUUUUGUAUUUUUAGUAGAGAUGGGGUUUCACUAUAUGUUGGCCAGGCUGGUCUCAAACUCCUGACCUCAGGUGAUCCGCCUGCCUCAGCCUUCCAAAGUGCUGGGGUUACAGGUGUGAGCCACUGCGCCCAGGCAAUUAUUUUCUUAUUUAUUUAUUUAUUUUAGAGACAGGAUGCCAUUAUGUUGCCUAGUUUGGAAUGCAGUGUCUAUUUAGAGGCGUGAUCAUGGCAUACUAUAGCCUCGGCUCAAAGGACCCUGGUCUCAAAGGACCCUGCCACCUUAGCCUCCUGAGUAGCUGGGACAAGUGUGCGCCACCACACCUGGCUAAUUUUUUAAAUUUUUUGUAGAGAUAGGGUCUCACUGUUGCCCACGCUGGUCUGGAAUUCCUGGACUCAAGGCCUCUUCCUGCCCUCAGCCUUCCAAAGUGUUAGGAUUACAGGGUGAGUCACCAUGCCCAGCCAGUGUGAAUUUUCUAAUGCUGAGUAAGUUGUGAUCCAGAAGUAAAUGUAUCUGCAAGCUGAUUUAAAUUGUAGAUUUUCUCUUCAUUGUGUAUUUUCUGAUGUUGAAUAAAGUCUGAGUAUUAACUAAAGUUUUUCUUCUUAAAUAUGUAAGAAUUGUCCUCAAAAUCUCUAUUCUUGAGCACAGUAGUAAAAAUAUUUUUACAUACAUUGUAUUUCAAGGGUUCUGCAUAAGCAACCUUGUUUUAUUGUGACUAAAUUUAUUUGGGAAUUGUAUCAAAUAUAUAAUACUGAGAUGUUCUCA
Molecule: long non-coding RNA, 2077 nt
Filed under: Pongo abelii (Sumatran orangutan)
Lineage: Eukaryota; Metazoa; Chordata; Mammalia; Primates; Hominidae
Description: lincRNA
Source: RNAcentral